Molecule: ribosomal RNA, 204 nt
Filed under: Pseudoalteromonas sp. SG45-1
Lineage: Bacteria; Pseudomonadati; Pseudomonadota; Gammaproteobacteria; Alteromonadales; Pseudoalteromonadaceae
Description: partial 23S ribosomal RNA
Rfam family: Bacterial large subunit ribosomal RNA
Source: RNAcentral
GUAGCUACGUUCGGAACUGAUAAGCGCUGAAAGCAUCUAAGCGCGAAGCAGGCCUCGAGAUGAGUUCUCACUAGACUUUUAAAGUCUCUGAAGGGCCGUUGAAGACUACAACGUUGAUAGGCAAGAUGUGGAAGUGGUGUGAGCCAUUAAGCUAACUUGUACUAAUUACCCGUGAGGCUUAACCAUACAACGCCAAACGCGUUU